CGCUUAUUUCUGGCAGUUCUUUUGACCCAGUACUUUGGUCCCUGUUUAAUCAUCUUUGAAGCCUUAGAUCCAGGCAAAAAUCUUUCAAUUAUGUUUCAUCUUCCCUUAUAUCAGUUGUGUUCAUCUCCUUGCUGAAAUUAUUUCUCAUUUUCGUCCCUCAAUUGAAAAACCAUAAGACUACUCACCACCAUCGUUUUCCCUUGCCAUGCCACCACUGAACCACCAACGCUGAUCUCUCCCUAUCCGUCUCUCUCUAAAAAAAGCCCUAAAUCCCUAUCUUUCUCUUUCUAGGUCGUUCCAGAUAAACAAGAUGCUUUCCCUCCUUCCGCAUUGGUAUCUACCUUGUCAAGACCGUUCAAACGAGAUGCCUUCGCUUAUCUCACACCCUUCUUAAUUUUGUAAUCCAUCUUUCUGCAAUCUGUCAUUGAAGCCGAGUAAUCGACACCGCCACCAGCCGAGUAAUUGACACCGCCAAAAGAAACGCACAUCAUCUGCUUACUCUCAACACCUCUUCAAUCUUCAGAUCUUUUAAAACCAAUUCUAUCGCCUUUUCUUGAAAAAAACCUAGACGCCUUAUUCUCCAUCGUUUGAAGAAAUGAUAUGCAACAAAGGCAGAAGAUAAAUCAAGAGAGACGGAGUUUGAGAGAGCAUUUGUCUCCACUAGCUAUCACUGAUCUAUUGGAUCCCUUGGUGGUGAACGAUUAACGAUGAACGCAAAAUCCAGUUUCUCAGGCCAGCCACUACCAUGUUUCUCUCUUCUUUUGAUUUUUGGAUCUUUUAUGCAGUCGUGGUGUUUCCUCCUUCAAGUGGUCUUGUAUCCUUAUAUCUCGGUGCUGAAAAUGAAACCAUAAUCUCUUUAACAUUGGACGACCUCUAGCAUAUGCACCGGUUCUCUCUCAUUAUUGACAUUGAUUUCGAUUUGCAAAGCUCUAACCUCAGAAAAUGGCGACUUUGAAUAUCUAACCUAGGUGUUCUGGUUCAUAAAGGUUGAAAACCUCUCUAUGAAUGUGAUGUUUCUCUCUCUCCGAUCAUCAUCCAUUCUAAUGGAAUUCGUUUGAAGGGGCAUUUUGAUUCUGUUGGAGUUGGGUCAUUUUAGAUUUGGGAAUCACACCAUCAUCUCCGUUUUCUACUCCAGGGUAAAAGGGAUCUGUUUGGAAAUACGGGUCCACAGCAAUUGUCUAGACCGCAUAAAAUACUCCUUUACAAGGGAAAUUCAAGGAGAUAUCAGCAGCAAGUCUCUUCAGACAGAAAAAGACAGAAAUGUUAGGCCUAAGUUGGAAUCUACAGAUCUUCCAGGAAGAUGUUAUUGUUUUGCAAAUCAACCCGAUGUUGGAUUAUGGAACAUUGCUCUGUUUGCUUCAACUCUUUCAUCUGCUCACUUAAUUAACGAAAAAGAAUCCGAUUACGCCCUCGAAAGUUGACUACACGAAUUUCUUUAGAUUACUUUCCAACAUCAAAGUUGAUUCCAGUACUCCAGAGGAGGAAUUGUUGAUUCCGCUCAAAGCUGCUUUGUUGGAUAUUGGAAAAGAGCGGAAAGAGGCCUGGAUUAGUUGGGUCAAAAUUUACAUAGAGGAGGUAAAAUCUGACUCUUUAAUAUUCAUUAACAAAUGUCAUUAAAUAAGUUAAAUAAUAAAUAAUGACAUGCUUUUGAUUUUUCCUACAAAUAGCAAUGUACUUUAUUACCUACUUUUUUUUGCUCGUAAUAGCAACCUACUUAUAUUAUUUUAUUCACAAUAGCAAUGUAUUUUAUUUUCAUAACAGGAAAUGGCCUAAUUACAGUUUUGGUCACUAUAGUUUUUAAUUUUAAUAGUUUACAGUUUUGGUCCAUGUAGUUUAUAGUUUACAUUAAUUACAGGUUUGGUCCCUGUAGUUUUUUAUUUAGGAUAAAUACCGAUUUGGUCCCUGUGGUUUUUAAUUUGAUCACAGUGUUGGUCCCUAUAGUUUUAAUUUGCUUUCGAUACAAUUUUGGUCCAUGUAGUUUUUAAUUUAGGAUGAUUACAGUUUUUGUCCCCGUAUUUUUAAUUUGCAUAAUUACAGUUUUAGUUCCUGUAGACUGUAGUUUUCUAAUUCCAGUUAUUACAUUUUUGGUUCCUGUAGUUUUUAAUUUCAAUAAUUACAUUUUUCGUCCCUUUAGGUUUUAAUUCCAAUAAUUAUAUUUUUGGUCCGUGUAGUUUUUAAUGUCAAUAGUUACAUUUUUGGUACCUGUAGUUUAGAAUUUUCAUCCAUUAAUUCUAAGGUUCAACUAAAAACUUUAAAGGAUCCCUCUCCCCCCCUCUCUCUCUCUCUCUCUACCAACCUAUAGCGUGUCACCAUUUGUUUCAUUCUACGUCGGUCACUACCUCCAUGAAAUUUCAUACAGGUAACAAAAUCCCCCUCUUUAACUUUGUGGAUUUUUUAUGUAGUCUCCACGUCUCUCUCUGGAAAUGUUUUCAGAUUCACCACUAUCUAAGUAUUUUGUGUGUUGAAUCGUUUUUAUCUUUGUUGCUACUUACCUUUGAUGGAUUUCAAAUACUCUCUAAUUUGCUAUUUUUCCCUGUUUUUAGGGAGGAGGAUGGCAUGAAAGAUGUUAAAAUUUGGGUUUUUGAUGUUUGUUUUUGUUAUAUUUGAAGGUAAAGUAGGAAGAGGAACAAAUGCACAUAAUAAAUAACCAGCUGCAUCUCGGUUACUUUCUACCUUAAAAUAUGCUGACAACUUCAUUUUUGUUUGUUUUCCAUGUAACCUUCUCAAAUUUCAAAAUCUAUUGUGUUUAUGGUUUGAUGAGAA
Non-coding RNA from Lactuca sativa (garden lettuce), 2763 nucleotides. Lineage: Eukaryota; Viridiplantae; Streptophyta; Magnoliopsida; Asterales; Asteraceae. The record is from RefSeq and is a predicted model, not a curated record.